GACAGAUGUAAAGCCUGAAGUGUCCCGGUUUCAUUAAAAAGAAGAAUUAUGUCGUUAUCAUUUUCCGUUACAGAAAUAGAUGUGAAAGAGUACGACAGUACCUCUGGCUUCACUAGCGAUGACACUGACUUCAGAGGGUGAAGCUCUGCUCUAGUGACUGACAGACUUAUAAACAAGCAGUGCGCAACACGUUACGUUUCACUUUGAUGACGCGGGCUACGGGCUCUGUUCAGCUGGAUUCACGCCACAGCACCUUACACAGGGGCCACAAGAAGACGAGCAGUGAUGGGGCCAAGCAAGAUUUUUUUGGAGUUUUUCGGAGGUCAACAACUGUGUUUCGCUGAUUUGGCCUGAAUUUUGUUCUUCCUUUUUGUUUUAUGGAAAAGGUUAAAAAAAUAAAACAUAGUUCUCUACCGUUCA
Epinephelus fuscoguttatus (brown-marbled grouper) is the source of this 420-nucleotide long non-coding RNA. RefSeq lists it as uncharacterized. NCBI's taxonomy places the organism in Eukaryota, Metazoa, Chordata, Actinopteri, Perciformes, Serranidae. The record is from RefSeq and is a predicted model, not a curated record. The transcript is spliced from 2 exons.